GAUGAACGCUGGCGGCGUGCCUAAUACAUGCAAGUCGAGCGAACAGAUGAGGAGCUUGCUCCUCUGACGUUAGCGGCGGACGGGUGAGUAACACGUGGAUAACCUACCUAUAAGACUGGGAUAACUUCGGGAAACCGGAGCUAAUACCGGAUAAUAUAUUGAACCGCAUGGUUCAAUAGUGAAAGACGGUUUUGCUGUCACUUAUAGAUGGAUCCGCGCCGCAUUAGCUAGUUGGUAAGGUAACGGCUUACCAAGGCAACGAUGCGUAGCCGACCUGAGAGGGUGAUCGGCCACACGGGAACUGAGACACGGUCCAGACUCCUACGGGAGGCAGCAGUAGGGAAUCUUCCGCAAUGGGCGAAAGCCUGACGGAGCAACGCCGCGUGAGUGAUGAAGGUCUUCGGAUCGUAAAACUCUGUUAUUAGGGAAGAACAAAUGUGUAAGUAACUAUGCACGUCUUGACGGUACCCAAUCAGAAAGCCACGGCUAACUACGUG
RNAcentral lists this ribosomal RNA (497 nucleotides) under uncultured bacterium. RNAcentral describes it as "partial 16S ribosomal RNA". It matches the Rfam family "Bacterial small subunit ribosomal RNA", at positions 28 to 507 of the family's 1533-position model. The record is from RNAcentral.